AGGCUCCACGUGCGCGGGGUGGGCGUCGGGCACGAUGCUGCUGCGACCGUGUUGGCACGUGAGCGGUCUCAGAUUCGCAUCCAGCGCUGGUCUCCCUGCCUCACCGCAGCCAAUCGUCAGUGGGUGCUUCCCUUCACUCUUGCUCGGAUGACAUUUCUCGUGUCCCGUUGCAGCACGCUAGUUGCCUGUGUGGCCUACCCCCUCGAUUCGGUGGGGGGGGGAGGGGACUCGUCGACGUCCCAUGUGCCCCUUCUGACUCCCCCGCCUUCAUUGUGGUGGUGCGGGGCGGACCUCGUGCGGUCCUCGAGUGCCCUUGGUGGGGGCCCUAUUGUGGCCUCCCGUUCCAUCGGGCCGCUCUUGUCACCUCGAUCUCUCGUGGAUUCGGUGGAUGCGUCGGGGCUGGGGCCCCUCUGCCACGUGUCCCAUCUCCAGAUCGAUUGGUUAUUGUUGCCCGGCCCGAUGUGACGACGUCCGGCCCGCCCCAGGCCUCUCCCUCUCCGGAGGGGGAUAUGGUGGGGGGCAGGGAUUCGG
RNAcentral lists this long non-coding RNA (531 nucleotides) under Elaeis guineensis (African oil palm). RNAcentral's name for it is "long non-coding RNA (EGUI_LNC073465)". Lineage: Eukaryota; Viridiplantae; Streptophyta; Magnoliopsida; Arecales; Arecaceae. The record is from RNAcentral.